Molecule: ribosomal RNA, 780 nt
Filed under: uncultured Neocallimastigales
Lineage: Eukaryota; Fungi; Neocallimastigomycota; Neocallimastigomycetes; Neocallimastigales
Description: partial large subunit ribosomal RNA
Rfam family: Eukaryotic large subunit ribosomal RNA
Source: RNAcentral
UACGACUACAUAUCAGGCAUAUCAAUAAGCGGAGGAAAAGAAACUAACUAAGGAUUCCCUUAGUAACGGCGAGUGAAGCGGGAAGAGCUCAAAUUUGAAAUCUUCAAGGUUUUACCUUGACGAAUUGUAGUUUAAAGAAGUGUUUUCUGUUGAAGUUUUCGGUAAAAGUUCUUUGGAAUAGGACAUCAUAGAGGGUGAGAAUCCCGUAUUUGACCGUUAUUUUCAGCUGUGUGAUACACUUUCAAAGAGUCGGAUUGUUUGGGAAUGCAGUCCAGAAUGGGUGGUAAAUUUCAUCUAAAGCUAAAUAUUGGCGAGAGACCGAUAGCGAACAAGUACCGUGAGGGAAAGAUGAAAAGAACUUUGAAAAGAGAGUUAAACAGUACGUGAAAUUGUCAAAAGGGAAGCGUUUGACACCAGUGUUGUUUUCUCGAAAAUCAAUUAAAAUAAUGCUUGAUUUUGUGUUGUAUUGACCUUAAAAGCUUUCUUCACUUUUUUCAUGUCUAUUUUUAAUGCACUUUUCGUUUAACAAGUCAACAUCAGUUUCUUUUGUUGUAAAAAGGUCAUUGGAAGGUGGCUUUCUUUUCGGAGAAAGUGUUUAUAGCCUUUGACUCCUGCAAUCGGAGAGACUGAGGUCUGCAGCGUAGAUCCUUCUUGGAUUAGAUUCAUUUGUGCUAAGUUAUAGCUUUUCAUAGACAACUUGUUGACUAUGUUUAGUCAUUGUAGCUUACUCGCUUAUGUAAUUUUACCUACGCUUAGGAUGUUGAACGCGCACAGAGUCUC